UUGAGAACUCUGUGUGCAACCAUAGCUCAUGAUUCCAUCGCUAAUGAUAUGGCCAAAACCACUAGUAUACUUCAGGAUAAGAGUGCCACAGAUCCGGACUUCAAAGUUUGUGUGCAAGUAGACGGUGAAAGCAGGGUGAAAACAGUAAUAUGGUGUAAUGGUAAAAAUCGGCUGGAUUAUGCACAUUUCGGUGAUGUGGUUACUUUCGACACCACUUACAGGACCAACCUGUAUAACAUGCCAUUUGGGCCUUUUGUUGGUGUGAAUAACCAUUUCCAGUCUAUUAUUUUUGGCGGCGUCCUCAUGGUUGAUGAAAAGACUCCCACAUUUGAAUGGGCAUUCAGAAACUUUAUUGACUUGAUGGACGGGAAACAUCCUACUACUUUAUUGAUAGAUCAAUGCAAAGCUAUGCAAAAUGCUUUACGAAGUACAAUGCCCCACACCCGUCAUAGGUGGUGCAGAUGGCAUGUGUUAAAGGUCUUGAAAGAGAAAAUUGGACACGUGUACAACAAACAUUCUGCCUUCAAGAAGGAAUUCCACGCGAUAGUAAAUGAAGAGACGGAUGUAGAAUCAUUUGAGCGAAAGUGGCAUCAAUUGAUUAAAAAAUACAAACUUCAAGGAAACAAGUACCUUCGCAGGAUUUUCAAGUGGAGGGACAUGUGGGCAAUGCCAUACUUCAUGGGCACAUUCUGUGCCGGGAUGACCAGCACGCAACGGAGCGAGAGUGCGAAUCAUCUCCUCAAAAAGUUCAUCAGCAGAUCACCCCCAAUGCACUUGUUUGUUAAGCAGUACAACAAAUUGCUUGAUUCCAUGAGCCAGGCAGAAGACGAGGCAAAUUAUGUCAGCAAGCAGACACGCAGACGGCUUGUAAUUGGCGCUACUAUCAAGAUAGAUGCAGCGGCUGUGUACACGAAGGCCUUGUACAAAAUAUUUUCACACGAACUUUUUAGAUCAGGCUCAUUUGAUGCACGCCGUUCCAAGCCUGGACACGUCUACAAGGUCAAAUUGUCGCCGCAACUAGCCUUAACUGAUUAUGACAAAAAGGUAUUCACU
Molecule: ribosomal RNA, 1053 nt
Filed under: Triticum aestivum (bread wheat)
Lineage: Eukaryota; Viridiplantae; Streptophyta; Magnoliopsida; Poales; Poaceae
Description: partial small subunit ribosomal RNA
Source: RNAcentral